Molecule: ribosomal RNA, 251 nt
Filed under: Escherichia coli
Lineage: Bacteria; Pseudomonadati; Pseudomonadota; Gammaproteobacteria; Enterobacterales; Enterobacteriaceae
Description: partial 23S ribosomal RNA
Rfam family: Bacterial large subunit ribosomal RNA
Source: RNAcentral
ACCGGAGUGGACGCAUCACUGGUGUUCGGGUUGUCAUGCCAAUGGCAUGCCCGGUAGCUAAAUGCGGAAGAGAUAAGUGCUGAAAGCAUCUAAGCACGAAACUUGCCCCGAGAUGAGUUCUCCCUGACCCUUUAAGGGUCCUGAAGGAACGUUGAAGACGACGACGUUGAUAGGCCGGGUGUGUAAGCGCAGCGAUGCGUUGAGCUAACCGGUACUAAUGAACCGUGAGGCUUAACCUUACAACGCCGAAG